GAUGAACGCUGGCGGCGUGCUUAACACAUGCAAGUCGAACGGAGUGCUCAUGACGGAGGAUUCGUCCAACGGAUUGAGUUACUUAGUGGCGGACGGGUGAGUAACGCGUGAGGAACCUGCCUCGGAGUGGGGAAUAACAGCCCGAAAGGGUUGCUAAUACCGCAUGAUGCAGCUGGGUCGCAUGACCCUGGUUGCCAAAGAUUUAUCGCUCUGAGAUGGCCUCGCGUCUGAUUAGCUAGUAGGCGGGGUAACGGCCCACCAAGGCGACGAUCAGUAGCCGGCCUGAGAGGGUGAACGGCCACAUUGGGACUGAGACACGGCCCAG
RNAcentral lists this ribosomal RNA (325 nucleotides) under uncultured bacterium. Its description in RNAcentral is "bacterial SSU rRNA". It matches the Rfam family "Bacterial small subunit ribosomal RNA", at positions 28 to 334 of the family's 1533-position model. The record is from RNAcentral.